AGAACGAACGCUGGCGGCAUGCCUAAUACAUGCAAGUCGAACGAGACCUUCGGGUCUAGUGGCGCACGGGUGCGUAACGCGUGGGAAUCUCCCUUAAAGGGUUCGGAAUAACAGUUGGAAACGACUGCUAAUACCGGAUGAUGACGAAAGUCCAAAGAUUUAUCGCCCAGGGAUGAGCCCGCGUAGGAUUAGCUAGUUGGUGAGGUAAAGGCUCACCAAGGCUACGAUCCUUAGCUGGUCUGAGAGGAUGAUCAGCCACACUGGGACUGAGACACGGCCCAGACUCCUACGGGAGGCAGCAGUAGGGAAUAUGGACAAUGGGGGCAACCCUGAUCCAGCAAUCG
This 344-nucleotide ribosomal RNA is filed under the name uncultured soil bacterium. RNAcentral's name for it is "bacterial SSU rRNA". It matches the Rfam family "Bacterial small subunit ribosomal RNA", at positions 26 to 396 of the family's 1533-position model. The record is from RNAcentral.